CUGCCGCGUUUAAUUUAUUCCAGCGAUGAUACAAGACACCUAAAUAAGACAUUUCUGAUUUAGUAUAUUAUUCACACCCUGUAUAUAAAUGGUAUGUUACAUGCCAAAUAGACAUACUUUCUCAAUGUUAGUAAAUUUAAUAAACUUGAUGUCUUUCUUAA
This is a long non-coding RNA of Vollenhovia emeryi, 161 nucleotides long. RefSeq lists it as uncharacterized. The record is from RefSeq and is a predicted model, not a curated record. The transcript is spliced from 2 exons. Lineage: Eukaryota; Metazoa; Arthropoda; Insecta; Hymenoptera; Formicidae.